CCUACGUGUGGCAGCAGUGGGGAAUAUUGCACAAUGGGGGAAACCCUGAUGCAGCGACGCCGCGUGAGUGAAGAAGUAAUUCGUUAUGUAAAGCUCUAUUAGCAGGGAAGAAAAUGACGGUACCUGAGUAAGAAGCCCCGGCUAACUACGUGCCAGCAGCCGCGGCAACAUGCAGGGGGCAAGCGUUAUCCGGAUUUACUGGGUGUAAAGGGAGCGUAGGCGGCAGUGCAAGUCUGGAGUGAAAGGCGGGGGUUCAACCCCCGGACUGCUGUGGAAACUGUACGGCGGGAGUGCAGGAGAGGUAAGUGGAAGUCCUAGUGUAGCGGUGAAAUGCGUAGAUAUUAGGCAGAACACCAGUGGCGAAGGCAGCUUACUGGACUGUAACUGACGUUGAGGCUCGAAAGCGUGGGGAGCAAACAGGAUUAGAUACCCUGGUAGUC
This 440-nucleotide ribosomal RNA is filed under the name uncultured bacterium. RNAcentral's name for it is "partial 16S ribosomal RNA". It matches the Rfam family "Bacterial small subunit ribosomal RNA", at positions 338 to 795 of the family's 1533-position model. The record is from RNAcentral.